CAAGUAGCAACACAAGCUAGUUUAAGUGGGGUAUUUAUUGGUAACAUUUUAGAUAACCCAAAAAAUGAGAAUUGCAAAGCCAUUGAGUUGAGAAAUAGAGUGGUUUUAUUAAACCAAAAAACUUAGCAAUGAGAGAGAAGAAAAAAAUUGAGGGUGACAAAAAAAGAAAAAAAAAGGAGGAAUUAGUCGAAAAGAAGGGUAAGGAAAAAUCAAAGAGAGA
This 220-nucleotide long non-coding RNA is filed under the name Lathyrus oleraceus (garden pea). RNAcentral's name for it is "Pisum sativum (pea) long non-coding RNA (PSAT_LNC001226)". Lineage: Eukaryota; Viridiplantae; Streptophyta; Magnoliopsida; Fabales; Fabaceae. The record is from RNAcentral.